RNAcentral lists this ribosomal RNA (468 nucleotides) under uncultured bacterium. RNAcentral's name for it is "partial 16S ribosomal RNA". It matches the Rfam family "Bacterial small subunit ribosomal RNA", at positions 28 to 507 of the family's 1533-position model. The record is from RNAcentral.
GACGAACGCUGGCGGCGUGCUUAACACAUGCAAGUCGAACGGAAAGGCCCUGCUUUUGUGGGGUGCUCGAGUGGCGAACGGGUGAGUAACACGUGAGUAACCUACCCUUGACUUUGGGAUAACUUCAGGAAACUGGGGCUAAUACCGGAUAGGAGCUCCUGCUGCAUGGUGGGGGUUGGAAAGUUUCGGCGGUUGGGGAUGGACUCGCGGCUUAUCAGCUUGUUGGUGGGGUAGUGGCUUACCAAGGCUUUGACGGGUAGCCGGCCUGAGAGGGUGACCGGCGACAUUGGGACUGAGAUACGGCCCAGACUCCUACGGGAGGCAGCAGUGGGGAAUAUUGCACAAUGGGCGGAAGCCUGAUGCAGCAACGCCGCGUGCGGGAUGACGGCCUUCGGGUUGUAAACCGCUUUCGCCUGUGACGAAGCGUGAGUGACGGUAAUGGGUAAAGAAGCACCGGCUAACUACGUG